GACGAACGCUGGCGGCGUGCUUAACACAUGCAAGUCGAACGAAGAGCGAUGGAAGCUUGCUUCUAUCAAUCUUAGUGGCGAACGGGUGAGUAACGCGUAAUCAACCUGCCCUUCAGGGGGGGACAACAGUUGGAAACGACUGCUAAUACCGCAUACGAUCUGACCUCGGCAUCGAGGAUAGAUGAAAGGUGGCCUCUAUUUAUAAGCUAUCACUGAAGGAGGGGAUUGCGUCUGAUUAGCUAGUUGGAGGGGUAACGGCCCACCAAGGCGAUGAUCAGUAGCCGGUCUGAGAGGAUGAACGGCCACAUUGGGACUGAGACACGGCCCAGGCUCCUACGGGAGGCAGCAGUGGGGAAUCUUCCGCGAUGGACGAGAGUCUGACGGAGCAACGCCGCGUGAGUGAUGACGGCCUUCGGGUUGUAAAGCUCUGUUAAUCGGGACGAGAGGCCUUCUUGCGAAUAGUUAGAAGGAUGACGGUACCG
This 482-nucleotide ribosomal RNA is filed under the name Veillonella dispar. RNAcentral describes it as "bacterial SSU rRNA". It matches the Rfam family "Bacterial small subunit ribosomal RNA", at positions 28 to 480 of the family's 1533-position model. Lineage: Bacteria; Bacillati; Bacillota; Negativicutes; Veillonellales; Veillonellaceae. The record is from RNAcentral.